This 253-nucleotide ribosomal RNA is filed under the name uncultured bacterium. Its description in RNAcentral is "partial 16S ribosomal RNA". It matches the Rfam family "Bacterial small subunit ribosomal RNA", at positions 524 to 776 of the family's 1533-position model. The record is from RNAcentral.
UACGAAGGGUGCAAGCGUUACUCGGAAUUACUGGGCGUAAAGCGUGCGUAGGUGGUUUGUUAAGUCUGAUGUGAAAGCCCUGGGCUCAACCUGGGAAUUGCAUUGGAUACUGGCAGGCUAGAGUGCGGUAGAGGAUGGCGGAAUUCCCGGUGUAGCAGUGAAAUGCGUAGAGAUCGGGAGGAACACCGGUGGCGAAGGCGGGUCUCUGGGCCGAUACUGACGCUGAGGAGCGAAAGCGUGGGGAGCGAACAGG